This 329-nucleotide ribosomal RNA is filed under the name uncultured eukaryote. RNAcentral's name for it is "partial 18S ribosomal RNA". It matches the Rfam family "Eukaryotic small subunit ribosomal RNA", at positions 1470 to 1796 of the family's 1831-position model. The record is from RNAcentral.
CCCUUAGAUGUUCUGGGCCGCACGCGCGCUACACUGAUGCAUUCAACGAGUCUAAAACCUGCUCUGAUAGGGGUGGGUAAUCUUUUGAAUGUGCAUCGUGAUUGGGAUAGAUGAUUGCAAUUUUUCAUCUUCAACGAGGAAUGCCUAGUAAACGCAAGUCAUCAGCUUGCAUUUAUUACGUCCCUGCCCUUUGUACACACCGCCCGUCGCUCCUACCGAUUGAAUGAUCCGAUGAAUAUCAUGGAUUGAGGAUGCAAGUAGGUUCGCCUAUCUUCAUCUUCGAGAAGUGAAGUAAAUCUUAUCAUUUAGAGGAAGGAGAAGUCGUAACA